GUCAUCGCCGCGCGACCGCGAGAAGUGAACUUGAGCAUAAAAGUUUCCAAUUGGAACAAGUAGUCGAGUUGAUAGACUUGGACUUGCGAUUUGCAGGUUUGCGGCUGGCCGUCGUUCUGUGAGCUCGCGGAGUGUUUUGUGUCUGCUUUCUUAGCAUUGUGAAGAUUUCCUACUUUGCCCAAGUGAUUGUUAUGGAGUCCCGUGGAAAUAAAGUGUUGUGAGGUGAAACAUUGUCGCCGUAAUCCAAUCGGGGCAGUGAAUAUGCGACAUAACAACUUCCACUACGUGUAGAAUGCAAAGUACAGUUUUUUGUUGAUUUUCUUGUUUUCGUGUUGUGUUGCUGUUCUGCUGCUGGCUCGCCGCUCGUGCUGCUUCUGCCGGAUCUUGCGAUAGCUUAGGAAUUCCACACCAUCCGAACAAGUUGUUGUCUUGAUUUUCUUUGGUUGAUUGUUCACGGGCCACUGGGUGUUGGACUGCAUCCCAUGAUAAAGUUAUAAACAACAAUAGUCAUUAACAAACGAUUAACAUGCAAAUGGAUAAGGAAAUAAACGUGAAUGAAACGCGGGAUCAGACCGCGCCACCCGUUCGCAAUAAAGUUAGUGUUUGGUUAUCGGGGAUCGUUGACGAGGUUCGUAGAAAAAAUCCUGUUCGAUUGCAAAAAUGGACUGGAACCGCCGAUAACAGUCCAAGUUCAGAAGCGGUUGAAAAUAUCGACAUAUGUGAAGACACUGCUAAACAUUCUGAAGAGCCAGUACCCAACGAACAAACUGAAGUCACAUUGAAUGAUACUGUGAGUGGAUCUAACCAACCAAGACUAUGGAGUGCAGGAAAUUUCUUAAACAAGGUUCGAGGAUUUGAGGGAUUCCACUCUGAUCAGGAGGAUAGCCGACUCAGUGUGGGGAAUAUCAAAUUACUGGGAAAAGCUAAGAUCAACGAGUUUUAUGAUAAGGUUCGCAUAAAUAAGGCACGGUUUGAUAAUUUGAAAAGGCGUGGCAGUAUGGAUAAAUCAGGGUCCAAUAUCUCAGAGUCUAACAUCUCAGAGACAGACGAAAAUGAUGUGCAAAAGAAAGGUGGCGAAGGAAUUGGCCUUUCUUCAACUCAAAAUAGCUUUAAUAACACCAAGGAGGAUAUAUCAUUGAGUGAUAGUUUAGAAGUGUCCGAAAACAACGAUUCAUUAUUUGUAACAAGUCGAAAAAUGCCAUUAGCCAUAAUUGGACGCAGUAGUACAAGUUGUGGUUGCAGCUCAUCCACAAAUCAAAUAGAAACAAAUGAACUUCAACCACCGCCAAAACCAACAAUGAAAUCGAAUAAGGCACAGAAGCAUUUAUUAGGGAAUAUCGGGCGUAGUUUUAGCGAGCAAAACGAUGACGAAAAUAGUAGUAGCUUUAUGUUAAACGAAAGAUCUCGCAGCUAUUCGCAUGUUGAGGAGGAUGGACCAACGUCUAAAAAUUCUAAUGAUAGUGAUAAUAUUGUAAGCAGCAGUUUGCCAACAUUUUUUGGACUUAAAUCAGUACCUGUUAGCCCAGUGCCACUACAUAAGGGAGUAAUGUCAAGAGAAGCGUCACUCUCAGAUAGUUCUCGACGAAAAAGCCUAUUACGAGACAGUUCUGUCCAAUCGGAUUCAAGCCAUUGUUCAAGCGUUGAGAGCUUGCUGGAGGCAAGGAAGCCAGAUCCUGAAGCGAUACUGAUAAAUUUGGGUUUUGGCCCAGCGCAAUCAGAAGAUGUUAUAUCUAAAAUACCAAAACGAUUUUUGAAGCCAUCACAAGUAAGAGGAAUUGAUAUUGAGACAUUUCUGCGACAACAACAAAUGGCUAAUCACCUGCAUGAUCAUAGUGUUCUCGGUUAUCGAGGACUUUUAGAUCCCGAAAAGAUUCUAAUUCUGCAAAGAUUUCAGCCGCAUACACAUCGACAUCACUAAAGAUAAUGAUAUCGUUAAUACCUGCAUACCUCCAAUUGUCAUUCUACUUUGCUUAUAACUAGAGGCAAUCCGGAUAUUCCGCCGUCAUUGAUUGUGGCCAAAAUAAUGGAACGCUUCGAACGAAAUGAGAGAAAUCGAUGUAUAAUGGAUAUAAAUUUAAACAGGCCACAGUCAGCACCCCCAACGCCAGGAC
This 2111-nucleotide unclassified non-coding RNA is filed under the name Hermetia illucens (black soldier fly). RNAcentral's name for it is "uncharacterized LOC119649185, transcript variant X1". The record is from RNAcentral. Lineage: Eukaryota; Metazoa; Arthropoda; Insecta; Diptera; Stratiomyidae.